Molecule: long non-coding RNA, 554 nt
Filed under: Bos indicus x Bos taurus (hybrid cattle)
Lineage: Eukaryota; Metazoa; Chordata; Mammalia; Artiodactyla; Bovidae
Description: lncRNA (ENSBIXG00000020257.1)
Source: RNAcentral
CUCGGCUUGACCUUUCUCCGCCCCCGCCCCCUCGGGCUCCUCUCGCUCCACCCCAGCCACCCACCAGCCCCGGCGCAAAAAUGUCACCGAGGGAGAGCGUCCAGGUGGAUCUGCUGGGGAGGAGAGCGGAGCCUCGUUGAACAAAGGGAAGCUUCACGCGCUCGGCUGCGGUGGUUUGGUGGAGGAGAGGAGCAAGGGGACCGAUGCCUUGCUUCUGCCUGCCUGGGUCCCGGUUCAAGGCGAGCGAGCGUGGGAAAAAAAAAAAAAAAAGAGAGAGAGAGAGAGAAGCUGGGAAGGAGAGUGAGCAGAGCGGAACGCGCAGGAAUUGGCUGUCUUCUGAGGGCUACUGGGUAGCAAGACCUGCAAAGCCCCGCGGCGGAAUUUUUAAGUGCUUUUCCCCUCUUUAUUUGUUCACACCAGACGUUAACGUUGCAGGAGUUAAUAUGUCAUCUGUCCAACUUGCUGAAAAGUCAGACAGUCACCUCGGUCCAGAAAUUCCUGUUUUUCCUCCUUGUAUUACAUUUUACAUACUGUGCUUGGCUGACAGAAAAUAA